This is a non-coding RNA of Cyclospora cayetanensis, 105 nucleotides long. The record is from Rfam. NCBI's taxonomy places the organism in Eukaryota, Apicomplexa, Conoidasida, Eucoccidiorida, Eimeriidae.
GACCUUCUGAAGUGUCCGCUGUCAAAAUCGGAACAAUGCCGGGAAGAGUAGCAGGGCCCCUGUGCAUGGAUGCCAUGUACAAAUCGAGAAGCAUACCACGCUUCC